UGAUUUUUAACUAUAUUGUUUCUUUCUGUUGGAUCACAUAUUAUUAGCUUUCUAUUAUAUAAAAAAAUCUAUUAAUUUCUAUAAAUGUAGGUGAAGUAAUGUAACACCCCACUCUGGAUGAUCAGUAGCUACGGUCUUGGGUUUGGCUUAAAAUUCGUACUCCUAAGACCCACUAGGCCUUAACCUGACAGCAGGUUCACUUAGAAGGAUAUAGGACUGGAAAUACAUCAUGACUACAGUCAUAAACAGAAGUCUUUAUUGCAAUCUAGGAGCCAUUUUCAAGCCCCCUGAGAGAACAGCGUAGGUGCAAGAGAAGAAAGAUCACAUUAGGUGAAUUUUGUGGUUAAGAGCAACAAAGCAUCAGCUGGUGAACAAAGCAUCACCAGCAUCAACAAAGUGAAGCUGGCAUCAGCUUCACCUGGGAACUUGUUAGAAAUGCAAGGUCUUGGCUCCUACCCUAGAGCUACUAAAUCAGAAACUCUGGGGGUAGAGCCCAACAAUCUAUGUUUUAACAUGCCUUCUGUGGGAUGUAGUUUGAUAACCAUUGUUCUGUAGAAACCAGUGUCUUGUGAAAGCCUAUUAGUAAUAUUCCAAGUUCCUUCAGCUAAAGACAUGAUCAGUUACAGGAGUUAGACUCAGUCAUGGAAGCCAAAAAUCUUAACUUCCUAAUGGAAGUUAAUGUCCACUCAUGGUUCUACUAGUCCCAAUUAGGAGACAUUCUUAGAAUAAGCAGAGUUGCCUGGUGACACAGGUAAAUUUAUCUUUAUUUUAACUCAGUAUUUGCUAGCUAAAUGUGUUAGAAGAAAGUAAAACUCAGAUCAUUUUCCCAUGGAGAAAGGGAAAGUUUUAGUAACUGUUUCUCCCCAAGUAAUUUUAAAUUAUUUAUGUAAUUAUAGAUAUGUAAUAUAAUGAGUUGCUAGUAAUAGAGACUUUUAAAUAUCAGAUGAAAUGUAAAUGUUGUCGCUGAUAUUUCAGCACUCAGAGUUAGAAUUUAAUACUUAAUUUCAUGGAAGUAAAGAGGAACAUUGAAUACUAUUAACAUCAGGAGGGAAGCCGAGGCCUGGGCUACGCGUGGUGGUGAUGGUGGCCAGAGGGGCCGUGGAAGACUGCACCCCCGGGGGCCACUACCGCCCCUUUGCCUGACCCAGCCCCGUUGCUCGCCCUGGGACGCUUGUUCCGGCCCAUCAGCACCGAGGACGAGGAGCAGCAAACUCACUAAGAUUGAGUCCUUGUGCAUGAACUGUUACAGCAACAGCAUAACGCGCCUCCUGCUCCCCAAGAUCCCCUUCUUCAGAGAAAUAAUAGCUCCUUUUCCUGUGAGCACUGUGGCUGGAACAACACAGAGAUCCAGUUGGCAGGCAGGAUCCAGGACCAGGGAGUGCAUUACACUUUGACUAUCAGGGCCCAGGAGGACAUUAACAGAGAAGUAGUGAAGACUGACUGGGUCUGCCACCACAAGGAUCCCUAAGCUGGAUUUUGAAAUUUCUGCCUUCAGCCAGAAGGGAGCUCUGACCACUGUUGAAGGAUUGAUCAACUGUGCUAUCUUUGUCCUGGAGGAGGACCAGCCCAUGAAGGGCAAAUAAAGAUGCCACAGCUGAGAGAAUUGAUGAGUUCAUUGUCAAACUGAAGGACCUAAAGCAAGAGGCCACCCCUUUCACUCUGAUUAUUGAUGAUCCUGCAGGGAAUAGCUUUGUGGAAAACCCCCAUGCUCCCCAGAAAGAUGAUGCCUUGGUGAUCACACACUACAACCGGACCCUACUGCAAGAAGAGAUGCUGGAACUCCAAGAAGAAGCUCCAGCAGAGAAGCCACAAGAGGAAUAUCUCAGAAAUGAAGUUCUGCAAUUCAACACAAACUGCCCAGAAUGCAAUGCACCGGCUCAGACCAACAUGAAGCUAGUACAAAUCCCUCACUUUAAGGAAGUUAUCAUCAUGGCUACCAACUGCGAGAACUGUGGGCAUUGGACCAAUGAGGUGAAAUCUGGAGGAGCGGUAGAGCCUUUGGGCACCAGGAUCACGUUCCACAUCACAGAUCCCUCAGAUAUGACCAGAGACCUCAAGUCUGAGACGUGUAGUGUGGAAAUUCCGGAGCUAGAAUUUGAACUGGGCAUGGCUCUCCUCGGGGGCAAGUUCACCACACUGGAGGGACUGCUGAAAGACAUCCGGGAACUGGUGACCAAGAACCCUUUCACACUGGGCGGCAGUUCCAAUCCUGGCCAAAUGGAAACUGCAGGAGUUUAGCCAGAAGUUGGACCAGAUCAUUGAGGGUAACAUGAAGGCCCACUUUAUCAUGGAUGAUCCAGCAGGAAACAGUUACUUGCAGAAUGUGUAUGCACCCGAAGAUGAUCCUGAGAUGAAGGUGGAGCGUUACGAGUGCACCUUUGAUCAAAACGAGGAGCUAGGGCUCAAUGACAUGAAGAUAGAAGGCUAUGAGGCUGGCCUGGCUCCACAGUGGUAGCAGUGGACGGUCACACGUGGGCCAGUCUCCAGAGCUGCUAAUACCACAGGGUUAUUUAUUACUAUUGGAAUAAGGCUGGGAGUGUCCUCCCCACCAGCCCUUGCUCAUGGUGAGGAGGACACCUGGUCUGAGUCAGAGACCUACGCACGCUUUCUUAACAGCUGGUGAUGCAAGUACAAGCCUAUUGUGUUAUUUGACCUUAUUUUAGAGGUUUUGAAUCUCCCUGGGAAGAAACCCAGAAAUGGACCGUGGGGCAUGUCAUUAUCACUUUUUUUCCUAUCAAGUCUUUACCAUCCCUCCACAUAAUACUCUGUCCUCUAAGGUUGUAACUCUGAAGUUGGAGAAGGUAGAAUAAAGUUACAGCUGGAAAAAAACAAAACAUCAGGAUAUUUUUUUUUCCCUUUCCCCCCUCCUUUUAUUUAUUGUACUUCCCCUCAUUUUGAUUUUUCUUUUUAUGGAACCUUAUGUGAAUGUUGUCUAACCAGAGUUGAUCUUCUAAUAGCUUAUUGUUUCUUUCCAACUGUUAAUUUCUUGCCUUUAUUUCGUGUUCUACAUCUGUGACUUUUCUUUUUCUUUUAAUUUUCCUUUUCUUGACAGAGUCUUGGUCUGUUGCCUGGGCUAGA
Molecule: non-coding RNA, 3078 nt
Organism: Microcebus murinus (gray mouse lemur)
Lineage: Eukaryota; Metazoa; Chordata; Mammalia; Primates; Cheirogaleidae
Source: RefSeq, a predicted model, not a curated record